GGAGAGGUGGCCGAGUGGCUGAAGGCGCUCCCCUGCUAAGGGAGUAUACCGGGAACGGUAUCGAGGGUUCGAAUCCCUUCCUCUCCGCCA
Molecule: transfer RNA, 90 nt
Filed under: Roseibium sp.
Lineage: Bacteria; Pseudomonadati; Pseudomonadota; Alphaproteobacteria; Hyphomicrobiales; Stappiaceae
Also listed under: 5 other names
Description: tRNA-Ser
Rfam family: tRNA
About the family: Transfer RNA (tRNA) molecules are approximately 80 nucleotides in length. Their secondary structure includes four short double-helical elements and three loops (D, anti-codon, and T loops).
Source: RNAcentral